Molecule: ribosomal RNA, 1108 nt
Filed under: Campylobacter lari
Lineage: Bacteria; Pseudomonadati; Campylobacterota; Epsilonproteobacteria; Campylobacterales; Campylobacteraceae
Description: partial 23S ribosomal RNA
Rfam family: Bacterial large subunit ribosomal RNA
Source: RNAcentral
AAAGGUAAGCUAUUAAGAGCGAAUGGUGGAUGCCUUGGCUGGUAAAGGCGAUGAAGGACGUACUAGACUGCGAUAAGCUACGGGGAGCUGUCAAGAAGCUUUGAUCCGUAGAUUUCCGAAUGGGGCAACCCAGUAUAUAGAGAUAUAUACUACCAUAAUGGAGCGAACGUAGGGAAUUGAAACAUCUUAGUACCUACAGGAAAAGAAAUCAAUAGAGAUUGCGUCAGUAGCGGCGAGCGAAAGCGCAAGAGGGCAAACCCAGUGCUUGCACUGGGGGUUGUAGGACUGCAAUGUGCAAUAGGUGAGGUUAGUAGAACACUCUGGAAAGUGUAGCCAUAGAGGGUGAUAGUCCCGUAUACGAAAACCAAACCUUAGCUAGCAGUAUCCUGAGUAGGGCGGGACACGAGGAAUCCUGUCUGAAGCUGGGUCGACCACGAUCCAACCCUAAAUACUACUACCAGACCGAUAGUGCACAAGUACCGUGAGGGAAAGGUGAAAAGAACUGAGGUGAUCAGAGUGAAAUAGAACCUGAAACCAUUUGCUUACAAUCAUUCAGAGCACUAUGUAGUAAUACAGUGUGAUGGACUGCCUUUUGCAUAAUGAGCCUGCGAGUUGUGGUGUCUGGCAAGGUUAAGCACACGCGAAGCCGUAGCGAAAGCGAGUCUGAAUAGGGCGCUUAAGUCAGAUGCUGCAGACCCGAAACGAAGUGAUCUAUCCAUGAGCAAGUUGAAGCUAGUGUAAGAACUAGUGGAGGACUGAACCGAUAGGCGUUGAAAAGCCCCCGGAUGACUUGUGGAUAGGGGUGAAAGGCCAAUCAAACUUCGUGAUAGCUGGUUCUCUCCGAAAUAUAUUUAGGUAUAGCGUUGUGUCGUAGUAUAAGGGGGUAGAGCACUGAAUGGGCUAGGGCAUACACCAAUGUACCAAACCCUAUCAAACUCCGAAUACCUUAUAUGUAAUCACAGCAGUCAGGCGGCGAGUGAUAAAAUCCGUCGUCAAGAGGGAAACAACCCAGACUACCAGCUAAGGUCCCUAAAUCUUACUUAAGUGGAAAACGAUGUGAAGUUACUUAAACAACCAGGAGGUUGGCUUAGAAGCAGCCAUCCUUUAA